Molecule: transfer RNA, 73 nt
Filed under: Felis catus (domestic cat)
Lineage: Eukaryota; Metazoa; Chordata; Mammalia; Carnivora; Felidae
Also listed under: 4 other names
Rfam family: tRNA
About the family: Transfer RNA (tRNA) molecules are approximately 80 nucleotides in length. Their secondary structure includes four short double-helical elements and three loops (D, anti-codon, and T loops).
Source: Rfam by way of RNAcentral
ACCUGGCUGGCUCAGUCCAUAGAGCAUGGGCCUCUUGAUCUCAGGAUUGUGAGUUUGAGCCUCACACUGGGUG